This 1960-nucleotide ribosomal RNA is filed under the name Streptococcus pneumoniae. Its description in RNAcentral is "partial 23S ribosomal RNA". It matches the Rfam family "Bacterial large subunit ribosomal RNA", at positions 1 to 1984 of the family's 2925-position model. The record is from RNAcentral. Lineage: Bacteria; Bacillati; Bacillota; Bacilli; Lactobacillales; Streptococcaceae.
GGUUAAGUUAAUAAGGGCGCACGGUGGAUGCCUUGGCACUAGGAGCCGACGAAGGACGUGACAAACGACGAUAUGCCUUGGGUAGCUGUAAGUAAGCGAUGAUCCAGGGAUUUCCGAAUGGGGGAACCCAACAGGUAGUACCUGUUACCCACAUCUGUUAAGGAUGUGAGGAGGAAGACGCAGUGAACUGAAACAUCUAAGUAGCUGCAGGAAGAGAAAGCAAAAGCGAUUGCCUUAGUAGCGGCGAGCGAAACGGCAGGAGGGCAAACCGAAGAGUUUACUCUUCGGGGUUGUAGGACUGCAAUGUGGACUCAAAGAUUAUAGAAGAAUGAUUUGGGAAGAUCAGCCAAAGAGAGUAAUAGCCUCGUAUUUAAAAUAGUCUUUGUACUUAGCAGUAUCCUGAGUACGGCGGGACACGUGAAAUCCCGUCGGAAUCUGGGAGGACCAUCUCCCAACCCUAAAUACUCCCUAGUGACCGAUAGUGAACCAGUACCGUGAGGGAAAGGUGAAAAGCACCCCGGGAGGGGAGUGAAAUAGAACCUGAAACCGUGUGCCUACAACAAGUUCGAGCCCGUUAAUGGGUGAGAGCGUGCCUUUUGUAGAAUGAACCGGCGAGUUACGUUAUGAUGCGAGGUUAAGUUGAAGAGACGGAGCCGUAGGGAAACCGAGUCUGAAUAGGGCGCCUUAGUAUCAUGACGUAGACCCGAAACCAUGUGACCUACCCAUGAGCAGGUUGAAGGUGCGGUAAGACGCACUGGAGGACCGAACCAGGGCACGUUGAAAAGUGCUUGGAUGACUUGUGGGUAGCGGAGAAAUUCCAAACGAACUUGGAGAUAGCUGGUUCUCUCCGAAAUAGCUUUAGGGCUAGCGUCGACAUUAGAGAUUCUUGGAGGUAGAGCACUGUUUGGGUGAGGGGUCCAUCCCGGAUUACCAAUCUCAGAUAAACUCCGAAUGCCAAUGAAUUAUGGUCGGCAGUCAGACUGCGAGUGCUAAGAUCCGUAGUCGAAAGGGAAACAGCCCAGACCACCAGCUAAGGUCCCAAAAUAAUUGUUAAGUGGAAAAGGAUGUGGGGUUGCACAGACAACUAGGAUGUUAGCUUAGAAGCAGCUAUUCAUUCAAAGAGUGCGUAAUAGCUCACUAGUCGAGUGACCCUGCGCCGAAAAUGUACCGGGGCUAAAACAAUUUACCGAAGCUGUGGAUACCUUUAUAGGUAUGGUAGGAGAGCGUUCUAUGUGUGAUGAAGGUAUACCGUGAGGAGUGCUGGAACGCAUAGAAGUGAGAAUGCCGGUAUGAGUAGCGAAAGACAGGUGAGAAUCCUGUCCACCGUAAGACUAAGGUUUCCAGGGGAAGGCUCGUCCGCCCUGGGUUAGUCGGGACCUAAGGAGAGACCGAAAGGUGUAUCCGAUGGACAACAGGUUGAUAUUCCUGUACUAGAGUAUGUAGUGAUGGAGGGACGCAGUAGGCUAACUAAAGCAGACGAUUGGAAGAGUCUGUCUAAGCAGUGAGGUGUGAAUUGAGUCAAAUGCUUAAUUCUAUAACAUUGAGCUGUGAUGGGGAGCGAAGUUUAGUAGCGAAGUUAGUGACGUCACACUGCCAAGAAAAGCUUCUAGCGUUUAAACAUACUCUACCCGUACCGCAAACCGACACAGGUAGUCGAGGCGAGUAGCCUCAGGUGAGCGAGAGAACUCUCGUUAAGGAACUCGGCAAAAUGACCCCGUAACUUCGGGAGAAGGGGUGCUGACUUUAAGUCAGCCGCAGUGAAUAGGCCCAAGCAACUGUUUAUCAAAAACACAGCUCUCUGCUAAAUCGUAAGAUGAUGUAUAGGGGGUGACGCCUGCCCGGUGCUGGAAGGUUAAGAGGAGUGCUUAGCGUAAGCGAAGGUAUGAAUUGAAGCCCCAGUAAACGGCGGCCGUAACUAUAACGGUCCUAAGGUAGCGAAAUUCCUUGUCGGGUAAGUUCC